This 472-nucleotide ribosomal RNA is filed under the name uncultured bacterium. RNAcentral describes it as "bacterial SSU rRNA". It matches the Rfam family "Bacterial small subunit ribosomal RNA", at positions 335 to 801 of the family's 1533-position model. The record is from RNAcentral.
ACUCCUACGGGAGGCAGCAGUGGGGAAUAUUGCACAAUGGGCGCAAGCCUGAUGCAGCCAUGCCGCGUGUAUGAAGAAGGCCUUCGGGUUGUAAAGUACUUUCAGCAGUGAGGAAGGCGGGUACGUUAAUAGCGUGCUUGUUUGACGUUAGCUGCAGAAGAAGCACCGGCUAACUCCGUGCCAGCAGCCGCGGUAAUACGGAGGGUGCGAGCGUUGAUCGGAAUUACUGGGCGUAAAGCGCAUGCAGGUGGUUUGUUAAGUCAGAUGUGAAAGCCCGGGGCUCAACCUCGGAAUUGCAUUUGAAACUGGCAGACUAGAGUACUGUAGAGGGGGGUAGAAUUUCAGGUGUAGCGGUGAAAUGCGUAGAGAUCUGAAGGAAUACCGGUGGCGAAGGCGGCCCCCUGGACAGAUACUGACACUCAGAUGCGAAAGCUGGGGAGCAAACAGGAUUAGAUACCCUGGUAGGAUAGCG